AGUAGUGUGGGUGGACGAGGACAGCGGGUGGAACUGGUCCUUCUGUGACUUUGCAGCCCCGGCUUGGUGAUAAUUUUUGUGCAGGCUUCUUGACAUGGAAAGCAGAGCUCCCCAGCACAGAGUGAGCCUCCGAAGGGCUCCUGCCCUUACCGGUGCCCUACCCUCCCUUUCCCUGCUUGCUACACUUGGGUCCGGGACUCAGCCUCCCUUUGCAAGCUUCUGCUCGGCCUGUGUGCAGCUGCACUUAGCUGGCAGGGUCAGGCGUUGAGUAGCCGCUCCGCUCCUUCUGCAGCCUCCUGCAGCCCCCGCCAGCUCCCGGGCUCCAUCCCUCACCAUCAGUUGCUGAUUGGCGCCCCCUGCGUGCACAACGGAGGCUGGCUGCACCUGGAGGUUCCCAGCAAUUCCAGGCCGGCUCCAGCCUAGCCAAAGCAGCUAACUUCUCUGCUGUCUCGUGGGCUGAACCUCACCGUUUCCCAAGAGGAGCUGCCUGGCAAUGGUAGCAGGUGAAGGUCAUGGUGAAGAAGAUGCAGAUAUUGGCAAUUUGGAGCAUUAGAUGAACUAAUUACAACGUUAACCUAAGGAACAGUGCAACAGAAAAUGGGCUAAGACAUGGAGCAAGGGGCAGAACGACUCUUGAAGAUGCUGAGCAACUUCUGUGAGGACAACAUGGAAUGAUCCCUAAGGUGGAGCAGGAAGCUGUCAAGAGAGGGGAAAAGGUGAAGGAUUCCUGGAGGCUGCUCAGCAAUCCAUCUAAGACAAAAUGCAAAAGAACCUCUUAAAGAUCUUUCCCUACACUGGUGGCCUGGGGAACAAAUCACAUUUGGAGAAUUGAAGAAAUCUUAAAAUGCAAGCAUAUUAAGCCCUUUUCCCCCAAAUCACUUAAGGUAUCUAAUACUUAUUAAAUAAUUAUAUGUGCAUGUAUCAGGCAUUGGACUCAACACUCUACCCACAUUAUUCCAUUGAGUUUUCACAGCAAAUGUGUCCUAUUGUAUUCCCAUUUUACACACGGAAAAACUGAGGCUCAGGGAAUUGAAUGGACUUGCCCAGAUUGUUAAGUGGUGGAUCUGCGAAGGGAGGCCAGUGAGCCUGACUCAGAAUUUGGUGCUUUAAACUAUCAUUGGCAAUUGCACAUGAAUUGUCUACCUUUUCUGACAGCUUCAUAGAGACAUGUAAAAAUAUUGGUGCUCCUCAUGGAUCUAUCUUGAGCCCACUUUUAUGAUUCUUACCUUACACACUUACAGGGGGGUUGAUCUGUUAUUUCCUCUGCAUGAAAUUCCAUGUUUAUGUUUUUCAGCUUCAUAUUUCUGUAUCCAGCUACCUGCUGCUGUCUUUAUCUGCUUCCCUAUUUAAACUUCAACUCAACAUAUUCACAACUGAAUUUACUCCUUUUUUUGUAAAUCUUCUUUCCCUCAAAUAUUCCCUGCCAUAGUCGAAUGACGCCCUCAACCAGCCAGUUGCCCCAGGGGGAACCUGAAAAUUAUUCCUAAAACCUGCUGUGUUAGGCUGUUCUUGCAUUGCUAUGAAGAAAUAUCUGAGACUGGGUAAUUUAUAAAGAAAAGAGAAUUAAUUGGCUCACAAUUCUGUAGGCUGUACAGGAAGCACGAUGCUGGCAUUUGAUUGGCUUCUGGGGAGGCCUCAGGAGGCUUACAAUCAUGGUGGAAGGCAAAGGAGGAGCAGGCAUGUCUCAUGGCAAAAUUAAGAAGCUAGCAAAGGUUGUGGGAGGGGUUGCCACACACUUUUAAAUGAUUAGAUCUUGAAAGAACUCACUAUCACAAAGAUAGCACCAAGCCAUGAGAGAUCUGCCCCCGUGAUCCAAACACCUCCCACCAGGCCCCACCUCCAGCAUUGGGGAUUACAAUUCAACAUGAUAUUUGGGUGGGGAUAAAUAUACAGACUGUAUCACCUCCCUCCCUCCCCAUAUCUUGGAAUGUGUUCUUCUUUAGUCUUGCUCCACUAUAUUUUGUCCAUUCUGGUUGACAUUGCCUGUUUAUUAUUUUUGAUCAUUGCAGCUGUUUUUAAACUGUUUUUCUUAUCUUUAUUAUCAGUCUCACAAGUCUACCUCACUUAGAGCUACUAGAAGUUGUUUUAUUAAAAAUUCAUACUUAAAUGCAAAUCUCAAGGCACAGAGGCACUGUGGCUGGACCAUAGGGCUGGUGCCACCAUGCUGGUCACCAGGAAGACUUUCUGUUGGCACUGGGAUAACUCAGAGUCAGAGGAAGAUGAAGAUGAUGCAGAGGAGGUUCAAUUAAAACUUGAAUAGACCAGAGAAGUACAUAAUAGAAGGAAGAGAUUCAACGGGUGCUGUGGCCCUGCUGUUGGGAAAGAAGAGACCAAUCAGAUCCCUUUCAGAUGAAGAUAGGUGAUGUGGAUAUGAAGAAACUGAAGGAAAAGAGCAAAGAUAAAAUCAGUAAAGAGGAAGACUUUCACUUGGGGACAUCAUUUUCUGCAGAAACCAACUGAAGGGAUGAGGAUGCAGACAUGAUGAAGUACACUGAGACAGAGCUAAAGAAGAGGAAAGGGAUUGUGGAACAUGAGGAACAGAAAGUCAAGCCAAGGAAUGCAGAGGAUUGUCUUUAUGAACUUCCAGAAAACAUCCACAUUUCCUCAGCAAAGAAGACCAAGAAGAUGUUUUCCAACCAGAUGCUGAGUGGCAUUCCUGAGUUGGACCUUGGCAUCAAUGCUAGAAUAAAAAAUAUCAUUUCUUCAGAGGAUGCCAAGGUCCAUCUGCUGGCAGAGUAGCAGAAUAAGAAAAAAGACAGUAAGCUAUCCUUCAUGCCUACCAACAUGUCUGUGAAUUACGUGCAGCAGAACAGAUUUUAUCAUGAGGAGCUCAACGUUCCCAUACAGAGAAACACAGAAGAACCCAAAACCAGACUCUUGAGGGUAGGCGACACGGAGAAGCUAGGUGACACAGAGAAGGCAGAGGCUGAGAGGUCCCCUCCUAACCACAAGCAUCCUGAUAAGCAGAAGGCCACUGAUGACUAUCGUUAUAAAAAGGUCAAGAAGAUGAACAGGCAGUACUGAGCUGUGCAGAAUGGGAUGUAAAUAUUGCCUUCCUCUCCCUCUCUCCAUUCCUCCCAUGAAAAAUGGCUUCCUGGACUGAGAAUGCUCAGUUGCUAGCA
Molecule: long non-coding RNA, 3122 nt
Filed under: Homo sapiens (human)
Lineage: Eukaryota; Metazoa; Chordata; Mammalia; Primates; Hominidae
Description: non-protein coding LINC01182:8
Source: RNAcentral